Molecule: long non-coding RNA, 2058 nt
Organism: Phasianus colchicus (ring-necked pheasant)
Lineage: Eukaryota; Metazoa; Chordata; Aves; Galliformes; Phasianidae
Source: Ensembl
GGGAGGGGGAUCUCUGUGCUCCCUCCGCUGUGAGGGGACCGGAGUGGUGCCACAGUGUCACUCUGUGCUUGGGGACAUCGAUGGCCCUGUGUCCCCAGGGGCUACCGGGGGGUCCCUGCCCCCAGGAAUGGAGGGGAGGGGGUGGCACUGCUGUCUGUGUGGCUCCAGAGUGUCUUCAGCUGGGGACAGCUUGGGGACAAUUUGGGGACAGCAAGAUGGAGGCAGCGUGGGGACAAUUUGGGGGCAAUGUGGGGACAAUUUGGGGACAAUUUGGGGACAACAUGGGGGCAAGUUUUGGGCCACUUGGUGACAGCAUGGGGACAAUUUGGGGACAGAGAGAUGGAGGCAAGAUGGGGACAGCUUGGGGACAGUGUGGGGACCGUUUGGGGGGCAAUAUGGGGACAACAUGGGGACAAGUUUUGGGGCACCUUGGUGACAGCGUGGGGACAAUUUGGGGACAACUUUGAGGACAGCAAGAUGGAGGCAACAUGGGGACGCUUGGGGACAGCGUGGGGACGACUUUGGGGGCAACGUGGGGACAAGUUUGGGGCCACUUGGUGACAGCAUGGGGACAAUUUGGGGACUGGGGACAAUUUGGAGACAGAAAGAUGGAGGCCACAUGGGCACAGCUUGGGGACAGCGUGGGGACAAUUUGGGGGGCAACAUGGGGACAAGUUUUGGGGACAAGUUUUGGGCCACUUGGCGACAGCAUGGGGACAAUUUGGCAGCAAGAUGGAGGCAGCAUGGGGACACUUGGGGACAGCGUGGGGACAAUUCUGGGCACAAUGUGGGGACAAUUUGGGGACAGCCGGGGGACAACAUGGGGACAAGUUUUGGGCCACUUGGCGACAGCAUGGGGACAAUUUGGGGACAGCAAGAUGGAGGCCACAUGGGGACAGUUUGGGGACAGCUUGGGGACCACUUUGGGGGCAACAUGGGGACAAGUUGGGGACAGUGUGGGGCCACUUGGCGACAGUGUGGGGACAAUUUGGGGACAGUUUGGGGGCAACAUGGGGACAAGUUUGGGGCCACUUGGUGACAGCGUGGGGACAAUUUGAGGGCAAUAUGGGGACAAUUUGGAGACAGCUGGGGGGACAACGUGGGGACAAGUUUGGGGCCACUUGGUGACAGCAUGGGGACAAUUUGGGGACAGUAAGAUGGAGGCAACAUGGGGACACUUGGGGACAGCGUGGGGACAAUAUUGGGGGCAAUGUUGGGACAAUUUGGGGACAGAUGUGGUGACAACAUCGGGAUAAGUUUUGGGCCACUUGGCGACAGCAUGGGGACAAUUUGGGGACAGAAAGAUGGAGGCCACAUGGGGACAGCUUGGGAACAGCAUGGGGACCACUUUUGGGGGCAAUAUGGGGACAAUUUGGGGACAGCUGGGGGGACAACAUAGGGACAAGUUUCGGGCCACUUGGCAGCAGCGUGGGGACAAUUUGGGGACAGCAUGGGGACAGUUUGGGGACAAUUUGGGGACAGCAAGAUGGAGGCAACAUGGGCACAACUUGGGGACAGCGUGGGGACCACUUUGGGGGCAACAUGGGGACAAGUUUUGGGGACAAGUUUGGGGCCACUUGGCGACAGUGUGGGGACAAUUUGGGGACAAUUUGGGGGACAUCCUGUGGGCACAAAGCUCAGCGCACGAUGUUGCACAGCGUUGCACGGCGCUGCUCAGCUGACCGUGCACAGCUUUGCACAAUCCUCGCGCGUGUGCAAGGCUCCAGCAGCGGCUGUGGCUGCUGAGAAACCACAGGAAAGCGGCGACAGCGCAGAGCUGUGCAGGGAGAGGAGGAAACUGCAAAGUGCUGAGCAGCUCCCUGCACUGAGCGCCGUGCAAAGCUGUGCAGCAUGAGUUGAGCAGCAUCGUGCAACGCUGUGCAGCAUCGUGCACUGAGCAUUGUGCAAAGCUGUGCACUUUGAGCUGAGCAGCAGUGUGCAAAGCUGUGCAGCAUCGUGCACUGAGCGUUGUGCAAAGCUGUGCACUGAGCAUUGAGCAACAUCAUGCACUGAGCAUUGUGCAAAGCUGUGCAGAACUGUGCACUGAGCAUUGUGCAA